GGUAUUGUUGUGUAGUGGUCAGCACGCUCGACGCGUAUUCGAGAGGUCCGUGGUUCGAAUCCCGGCGAGGGCA
RNAcentral lists this transfer RNA (73 nucleotides) under Stegodyphus mimosarum. It matches the Rfam family "tRNA". Rfam says of the family: Transfer RNA (tRNA) molecules are approximately 80 nucleotides in length. Lineage: Eukaryota; Metazoa; Arthropoda; Arachnida; Araneae; Eresidae. The record is from Rfam by way of RNAcentral.